UACAGAGGGUGCGAGCGUUAAUCGGAAUUACUGGGCGUAAAGGGCGCGUCGGCGGUCAUGCAAGUGAGAUGUGAAAGCCCCUGGCUCAACUGGGGAAGUGCACCCGAAACUGAGUAGCUUGAGUGCAAAAGAGGGCCGCGGAAUUCCCGGUGUAGAGGUGAAAUUCGUAGAUAUCGGGAGGAACACCGGUGGCGAAGGCGGCGGCCUGGGUUGACACUGACGCUGAGGCGCGAAAGCGUGGGGAGCAAACAGG
RNAcentral lists this ribosomal RNA (253 nucleotides) under uncultured bacterium. Its description in RNAcentral is "partial 16S ribosomal RNA". It matches the Rfam family "Bacterial small subunit ribosomal RNA", at positions 524 to 776 of the family's 1533-position model. The record is from RNAcentral.